AUUUUUUUUUCUGAAAAAACAAAACAAGAGUCCAUGGCUUUAUCACAUUCACAAAGAACGCCUUACAAUCCAAACAAGAUCCACACACCUGCUUGCCAGUGGCACAUUGACAUGUGGGUCCCACAGACACCCCAAGAAACAGCAGCUUUGUCCAGUCUUGUCCAAUGUAGGACUCAGAGCUUUUCUCUUAAGAUUAGAAUGGCAUGGUAAGCCUCCUCUUCUUACCAGCUGAGAAGCUAUUAGAAAAAUCUGCGAGUGACUAUCUGAGGCCCGGGGCAUUACGUAUGCCCACUGUGUUCCCCGAUGCUUAGCUACUACACUUUGGGAAAUACCAGUUUUCUGACGUGAUCUCUGAUUUGUGCUCUCGUUGAUGCUUUCCCGUUAGUGUCCCAUUAGUUCCAGGUCCACAAUUAAUUGUUGCUCGAACAAUCUCCUAUGUUUGCCCUGUAGGUAAUUACAGUGGUUACUGUUCAGUGAAUAAAUGGUCCAUGGUGUUGACAAUGGGCUUGGAGUGCAAUAUGUGCCCCAGGUCUAAAUCAUGUUGGGUGCAAAAUAUUAACUGGCGAUGACAUUUUCUGCACCAUUUGAGAUAAUACAUACUUUGAUUAGAUUGCUUUACCGUUUCUUGGGCUUUAGUCUCCUAACACUUUCUUCCAUGAGAAGGCUGUAGGUGUCUCAGAGUCCCACAGAACUUCAGAACUGAGCCAGUCUGAGAAAUCACCUUUGCGAUUCUUUAUCCUGGCUGGGCACUGAGUUCAAACCACUGAGCAACUUGGCUCAAACCAUCAAAAUCAAACUUUCUGGGCAGAGGCUUAGCAGUAGUAGUAUUUAAAACUUGGCAGGUUUUGGGGCAUAGGGGGCUGCUUGGAGAGAUGGCUCAGCCAUUAAGAGCACUUGUUGCUCUUGUAGCGGGAUAGGAUUCCUAGUACCACACAGCGGCUCACACCUAUCUGUAACACCAGUUCCAGAGUUCUGAUGCCCUCUUCUGACCUCCACAGGUACUGCACACAUGUGGUGCACAUACCUACAUGCUGGCAAAACAUCCACACACCUAACAUAAAAGUAAGUAAGUAAGUAAGUAAGUAAGUAAGUAAGUAAGUAAGUAAAUAAAUAAAUAAAUAAAUAAACCUUUAAAAAAUAACUGGAAAGCAGCUGCCCAGAGAGAGCUGAGAACUCCUGACAGGUCCCAUACCAUGGUCAUGAAUAAGCAGAUUGGUUGCCAGAAACGGUACAACCCUGAGACAUCCAUCAAAGCCAAGGAAAGAUGGAAGCAGAACUCGAACUCAGGUCCAAAGGACUUUCUUGGCUUGAUGCUGCCCAUGUGUUCCUGGGGGAGCCCCAGGCCUGCCCCUGCACCUGGCGAUACUGGGGUUUCUGGCAUUGGCACCCUGACUUGAAGGCCUACACUUCUGGGCCCCCUGCCUUAUUUCACACAGCCAAAUUCGUUUCUGAGCAGUCGGUGGUUGAGGCUUCCAACAAAGCCCAAACCACAGACGGAUUGAGGAGAGGACUUUAAAUCUUAACUUACAGCUUUGUCUCAUCUAGUUUUGCUGCAACUGUUUUGAGCAUUUGGCCCGUACAGUACCUGCUUUGGGAGCCUGUGGAAAUCUGGUUUGGUGGCCUUUUAUAGAAUCAACUUUUGUAAAAGUUCCACAGAGGCAGGGAAAAUGAUUCAAUCUUAGAUGUAAGCUGCGGAAUUCUUUAUUAGCCUACUAAUGCAUAAUAGAUACAACCGCCUAAUUACAUUACUAUUGUGUGCUCCGUGCCUUUGUUUACUUCAUCUAUCAAAGGCUGUGAGGCUGUUACACUUCCUUCCCGCUUUUGUCUCUGAGCAGCUCGUGCGUGAGUUUCAGGAGGUUUGGCUCUGUUGCCUUUGAAUUUAUGUUGUUUUGAGCAUAAACGUUCAUCACAAUUGUGUCUUUAUUUUUCAGCCAUGCGUAUCCUUGCCUAGUGUGAACAGCAGGUACUUAAUAGAUAUUCACGGGCUGCACCAAGAACUGAAAUAUUUAUGAAGGCAAAAUAAACCUCUGUCACUUACUGCUUCUUGUGCUGCAUCUUCCUUGAUAGCAAUAACAUUACCCUUAUUAACUUAUGGUUAUGUUUGCCCAUCAUAGCUUUGAGCUCCUUUUAUUUAUACUCUACCAAGAUUACUAUAUCUAUCUAUGUAUAUCACAUAGACAGACAGACAGACAGACAGACAGACAGGCAGGCAGGCAGGCAGGCAGGCAGGCAGGCAGGCAGACAGAUGAUUCCAGGAGGCACCAGGUACAAGAGGUACAAGCAUAUACACUUAUUACUGCAAUAAGCACUUGAUCAUGAAUUUCUUGUCUCAUUGCCUCUCAUGAUCUUUUUAUGUUCCAUUUCAUUUUCUGGGCUUCCAUUUAAAGUACAGCUUUGUUUUCAUUGCCUUUCUGGUUGUAUAAAUUUACCUUGCUCCAGGUAUCAGCCUGAAGGAGCACCUCUUGAUGUCCUGAAGAAAGGAAGAAGUUGUAACCUUACUGACCUGGCUUAGCCCUCUGCUGCCUUGACACAAGGCUAAACAGCUGGGUAGAAAACUCUUGGCCAACUUCUUCUCUUUGUAAGUGCAGAAUGAGGCAAAGAAGGCAACUGGAGCAAACCCGAUGGCUCUUUACUUGUGGGUGCCUGGCUUUCUUUGCCUGUGGGUCUGAAAGAUUGUUUUUCUUUGUUCUUGGAACUUAAACACUUUGCCAGCAAAGAUCUGGGUGUGGCAUUCUCAGUUUGGUAUGGGAUAUAAGAAAUUCUUCAAUUGAUACAUUUAAGUCUUCAAAACAUGCAUACAUAAAAUAAGUAUACUAUGUUUUAAAUAUUUAAUAUUGUAUAUAGUUUUUGUGCACCAUAUUCUAUGAUAUAUUACAUGUGUUAUAUACGUCUGUAUAUAUGUAUAUAGCAUAUAUGUCACAUCAUGUCUGCCUCUUAUAUAACAUCCCUCUACAACCCUGCCUUUCCUCUGGAACACCUAGUCAUCGGAACCAUCAUUUUAUUCUCUAAAUCCUUAUCUGUCCUAUUUUCUCUUGUGGUUACAGCUCUUGGUGCUUGUCCUCGGUAUGGUGGAAGAGCUUCUCAUUUUAUUCUAUCUGUAUUUUAUUUGUUGGUGAAUCAGGAUAACACUGGCCUUGAACUCCUGAUCCUCUUGCCCCAGCCUCCCAUGUGCUGAGUGACUUAACCCAUAGUCUUAUUACAGGAUCUGUGCAUAUUAUCUUUUACUAUUUUCUGGUAAUACAGCUGUAUCAUCCUUGCCUCAGCCUCUCGUGACCACUGACCUGUUUCCUGGCAGAGUCUGAGCCUCUAACUCUCCAGUUCCCAACUGAUGAGCACAGAGAGUACUAACCGUGCCCACUGUGUACUUGUCAUCCUGGGGAUCAGCGGGGUGAUCAGCUGGGAUCACUUGGCACAGACAGCCGGGGACACUGUAGUGUCCGCACUUGCAGCGUAUUGUGGGACCUGGACAGGAGCAGCAUGGUGGUGCUGUCCGAGGCCUUGCCUUUGCUCUGGCUUCACGCUGGCUACUCUGUGGCACACAACUGUGUAAUCUGAAGUCUUGAUGCUGGGAUUCUAGGGGGAUCUGCCAUUGCUCACAGAGAGACAUACAUACACCUACACAAAUGCAUACAUACAGGCACAUACAAAAAGGACACACAGGCACACAUAUAUACAUAAACAAAUAGACACAAUCACACCCACACAGAGAGGCAUAUAUAUAUAUAUACACAAAUACAUACAGUCAGACACACACACACACAGAAAGAGAGAGAGAGAGACAUACACAUCAGAGUUGGUGGCGGCAGGGUUUGUUGCCGUUCUGGACAUUAGAGAGCAUCUAGAUUAAGCAAAUCCUAAACUUGCCUCAUAAAGUAACAAUUGCCUUGAAGAUCAGCAAAUGUUUCCUGAGUUCUGAGUUAGAGACCCCCUCACUUACAUGAUCAGGAAAUUGGAACAUGGUUUCUCUACCUCAAGCGGCCCAUCACUGGGUAACUAAAUGGCUUUCCCCCUUCAUUGUCACAUGUCCUUCUGAAUUCAAACAGAAUAAAUACCUAGAAAAGUGAUGGAGAGAGGGAACUGCAUUCUGGGAAGCGGGGUUUUUAUGGCCCAGAAAAAAAACAAUCCUUAUAGCAGUGCAUGAUGGGAACUUAACAUCCUCUGUUGAUCCAGGUAAAAAGUAAAUAGACAUCAAAUGAAUCGCCGGGACCCCAUGUGCUGUCUCUCCUCACGGAAAGCACGGCCCUGCUUCAGAAGUAGCAGCUAUUUUCCAAAUGACGAUUCUGUGCCCAUGUGACAUAAACCACACAAGGUCAGGAAGCAAGAUGUGGAGCUGGCCUAAUGGUUUUUUUUUUGGUUCUUUUUCUGCAGCCUGGCGUAGAGCCUUGAGCCUUGAGCAGAGGUAGGCAACCACCUAGGGCUUACCCCUCCCCAGAGAUGUGAUGGAGCUUGGUGGAGAUAACAUGCUCUGGGUUACUUAGAAGGGAGUUUAUCUCUCAGCUACAGACGUUUCCACGGAGGGUGUGGAUCGUUCUGGUAAAUUCUGGGGUGCAUACACUUAACUAUCAGAGUGGCACGUGAAGGAGGCUAGGAGUGUUCUCUCCAGUGGGAGAUGUCUUGCAGUAGAAUGCCUCUCGAGAGUUUAGGGUCUGCGUGAGGAGCUGGUCACUGCUUCAGCAGUGAGACCCCCAGAAUGGAGGCAGAAGUGGAGAGUGACAAAAAUCUCAAGGACACUUAAGAAACCAGAAGACUGGAGCUCUCCAUCCCAGAGGCCAGAAGGGCGAAUCAUCGACAUGAGAAGCUGCUGCCCUUCUCAUCUCUGCAAGGAUGAGCUGGACCAGAGAUUCCAAAGGUUCCUGGCAGCCAAAGAAAAUGAUGAAGGACCUUGUGGUUUGGAGGGGGAGGGUGGUUUGUUUUUUAAAACCCGAUUUAGUUAGACAGUUGCCUUUUACCUAACUCCUUUGUGGAUAAAUACAUCGUCCAACCUCACUAUCUUUAUUAGAUUCCAAGCCACUGACAAAUUCUGGUCUGAAUGCAAUUCCUUUUUUACCUGGUCUGGGGCACCUGUACUGAGCUCUUCUGCAGACGUAAAUCAUCCCUAGGGGUUGGGGUUAGCAGGGGUGGCCACGGUUGCUAAGAGCUUGGGAGGCAACUUGCGCCAGGUGGGAGGGGAGGCAUGAUGGAGGCUUGCUCUUUUCUCUGCUAGGUUUAAUCUUUCGCUGUGGGUUUGCUGGCUGUGCCCGUAAUUAAAUGAGGGAGGUGUUUGUCAUCCUGGGUCCCUUUCAGCCGAGCUGAAUGCAACACAACUUUCUCAGGAAGCUUCUGCCAAAACAGUGUUUGUGGCUGGAGCCAGGACAUAGACAAAGACACCGGGCAUGCGCACUGGGAACUGGGGGGCCACCUAGGGGCAGUGCCAGGCCGCCGCUGCCCUCGAGCCCCGGGCCAAGGCUGUUUGGAAACUAAGUGCUUCAAUUUCAAUGUCGUGAAGAUUCGUGUGGUACAGAGUGGCUGCAAAGUGUCCCCGAGUUAAUGAGGGAGAAUGAAUGCCUGGCACGCUGGUGCGUUCUGCUUGAGGCCAGGUUCCCACAGAGGCCUUUGGGGUACUGCGCACGUGUAUUAAAUCCGAGUCGGAAGCGGCCUGGGCUAGAGCCACCAGGGGAACCACAUUCCUCCUGCCUGCUAAUGGGGUUGCCUUUUUCUCAAUAAGAAACACCCAACCAUUCAACAUAUGCGUCUCACCUUCAUAGCCGGUCCUCCCUACAUUCCACCCAACCCUGUGGGAACUCAGAACAACUGGAAAGGGAGGCAGAAGAGGCACUGUUGUCUUUGUUUCCUCUGGGAGAAACUGGCUUGAGAACUGGACUGCAUGAGAGAGUGGUAAGGCUGGGCGUUGCAUUCGAUGCUUUGAUUCCUUGGUGUUAUUGUACGAGGAAGGAGAAGGCACGCAGGAAGGACUGGGUGUGUGCGCAUUCUCACUGAAAGUGCAGAGCAACCCGGGGAGGCAGCUGCGAGUGCCCACUGAAGUCUUUGCAUGCGGAGACUGCGUUCACAGAGGUUACACACUGCUUCCCCGUGGUCACUCAGCAAGCAGAGCAGGGGGAGGGACUCCACAGUUCCCACAGUCCCUCCUCACAGACUGCCAUGCUAUGUCCGGCGACCUAAAAUCUUUCCCAAAUACAUUCCCUUCUUCAUGAUUGUUGUGUGUUUGUGUGUGUGUGCACACAUGCAUGGGUCCUGUGGGAAGGCCAGAGGCCUCAAGUGUGUUUCCCGAUUAUUUUCUUCAUUGUAUGAGACAAGGCUUCUCACUGAACCUGGAGCUACUGACUCGGUGGGACUGGCUGGUGAGCAAGCCCCAAGGAUCCAGCUGUCCCCCGCCACCCCUGACACUAGGGUCAUAGACAUGGGCUUGGCGUGGCUUUCAUGUAGGCCCCGGGGAUGGAACUUAGAUCCUUAUCCCAUGUAUGCCCAGCUCUUAACUGACCGGAUCAUCUCUCCACACUCUCUUCAGCCUCAUUUCGAUCUUCACCAAUUUCACAGUCUAGGUGGAACUGACUCGGAUCCUUUGGUUUUAUAGUUGGCAAAACAGAAGCUCAGAGAGUUAACUUGACCUGGACACAGUCACAUGCCACCAGGGGCGGGGCCGGGGCUCAGUAGUUUUGUUCUUAGAAUGUGGUUCUUCCUCUUGCGUACCAGGAUCCUUUGCAGGGAGGUCUCUGCAUGGCCAGUGAGGACUCACUGGGCAGUUUAAAGAAGAGAAUGCAAUUUUCCUUAGAAAAUGUGGCACGGCAUCAAUGCUUUGUGCAUGUUUCAAUUCAAUGCUAAGAAACAAAAAUUUUAUACCUAUUUUUUUUUUUCAGGAAUUGAACCUAGGGCUUCAUACAUGUUAGGCAACUGCUCUACCACUGAGUUACCUCCUUAGCUCUCCAUUGUUUUUUGUAAAGAUUCUUUCUUUUUUUUGGUGAUUUUUUGAGACAGGGUUUCUCUGUGUAGCCCUGGCUGUCCUGGAACUCACUUUGUAGACCAGGCUGGCCUCGAACUCAGAAAUCCACUUGCCUCUGCCUCCCAAGUGCUGGGAUUAAAGGUGUGCGCCACCACUGCCCGGCUUGUAAAGAUUCUUAAGGGGCCCCAUGGAAACCUCCAAACCACCCAGGCUGUUUCCAAGGUUACUGUUUCCUCUCUACAAACUGAUGGUAAGGCCUUAUUGCUGAAGACACCGCCUAUAAAACUCACGACCACGGAAAGUCGAGCUGGUGCCUGCCUAAGCCUUCCCCCUACUGACUGGUGUCCAUGAUACUGGAAGGGACUCUGUAGUCUACAGAGGAGCAAGGUAAGCAUUAACCCAGCCAUGAGCUCUUCCAUCUGCAAUGGUGACCCGCGAGAUCACUAGUAUAACAGUGGCACACGGCUUGUAGGUGUGACCAACCAACAUCUGACUAGGUUCAAGGCCCCUCCACGAGAUGGAACUCAUUCUUGACAUUACUUGAGUGGCCAAGAACCUGAGACUAAGUAGACCAGGAUCCUUAGGGGAAGCUAAAAAUCAUUGUUCUGUUAAAGGAAUGCGGCAAUAAAAUGAUUUCUAACAACAUCCUGCUCUAUCAGUCUCCUAGAUCAAUUUCUUAUUCGGCCUUUAUAAGAGACUCAUACUAGGUAAUACCCAGGGCCAUACAACGUAGCGAGAGUGAGAGACCUUGGAGACUCUGUUCUAGAGGGGAUGCCUCCAUCAAGUCUCUCCCCCCAGGGCUCAGGGGACCCUGUGGAAAGGAAAGAGAAGUAUUUAAAGUCAGAGGAGAUGGAAGACACAAAGGAAACAAGGCCUUCCCAACACAGUAAGACCAAGGCACAUUUGAACUUGCAGACACGGAGGUGGCAUGCACAGGGUCUGCACAGGUCUAGGCCCGAUGUGAUCCCAGUGCUAAGGGGGAACUGGACACAAGCCCCAUCCCUAACCUAGGAGCUAUCUCCAGUUGAUAACUGCCCACAAAGGAAACCUUAGUUUUCUCUAAUGGAGUCUCACUAGGAAUGGAAACUAUUCGAGACAGGGUUUCUCUGUGUAGCCCUGGCUGUCCUGGAACUCAUUCUGUAGACCAGGCUGGCCUCGAACUCAGAAAUCCACCUGCCUCUGUCUCCCAAGUCUGGGAUUAAAGGUCUAUGCCACCAUUGCGUGGCUGCAUGUAGACUAAUCUUACAGACAGUCACUGUGCCCAACAGUAGAUAGCAAACACAAUAUGAUGUCAUUGUCUCAGAAUGCUUUGUCUGGGCAUUUUAUUUUGUUUAUUUGUUUAUUUGUUUAUUUAUUUAUUUGUUUAAUUGAACCUUACAGAGCCUUUUCUUUUGUUAGUUUGUUUCAUUCUAUUCUCAAUUGUUUGUUUGUGUGUGUGUGUGUGUGUGUGUGUGUGUGUGUGUGUGUGUGUGUGGUGUAUGCUUGCAUUCAAACGAAAAAAGAGAGAAAGAAAAGGCAUGGAUUUGGGUGAGAAAAGAAUGGAGAGGAGUUAAAGGUGGAGAAAUUGUAAUCAGAAUAUAUUGUACACAUACAUGUAUUAUGUAUAUGUAUUUGUUUGUUUGUUUGUUUGUUUAUUGAGACAGGAGAGCAGGCUGGCCUCUAGCUCACAGAGAUCCACAUGCCUCCCGAGUGCUGGAAUUAAAGGCAUCUGGCACUAUUCCCAAACAUUAUAAGUACUCUAAAAUUUUUUUCCUGUUGGACUGGGAGCUAUCCCUGUGGGUAAACUGCCUGCUGUGCCACUGUGAGGACCCGGGGUUUGGGUCCUCAGGAAGGAUGUGACACACAGCAGUAACCAGGAUGCUGGGUGGGAGAGACUGGAGAAUCCCCGGAGCUAACUGCCCAGACAGUCUAGCCAAUCGGUGAGUCGCAGGCUCAGAGAGAGAUCCUAUCCCAAAAAACAAGGCAGAGAGAGGCUGAGGAUGAUGCCCAAUAUCAACCUCUGUCCUCUGUAGGACCAGCACAUAGAUACAUGCAGACACACACACACUUUACUGUCAAAUAGAAGCUAUAUUCCUGAGUGUGUGAUAUUUCAAUGUAUAAUAGUAGGACCAAUUGCCUGUCCCCUGCUUUAAGAAAUAGUUCUAAUUUAUUUAUAGACAGUAAAUAGCAAAGCCGUUUACUUCUCGCCCUUUAGGAGCUGUCCUGCUCUGUGACAUGCUGAGAUUCUUAAAAUUUCCCUCCCUUUCUCCCACUUUUUACCUUUGUUUUAUGUAAAUAAGAUCACAAAACAAACAGAGCUUUCGCCAACUCUUUGAAGUUUGUUUUUAAUAAAAAGGAAAAUUGAGGCCAUGGGGAACAGCAGAGGCGAUCUGGAGCGGGCUAGUGUGGCGGAAGGGCUGAGCUCUGGGUUUCAGCCAAGGCACGCUGAGCCCUGGGGCUGCUUUCUGUCACUUGCAGCUUGGGGCCUCUGGAGGCAGGGUGAGCACGGUCCUGUCUCAAGAACAGGACGAGAGUCACAACAGCAGCAGCUUCAGCUACAGAUGGCUUCAGUAAACCCCGGCGUCUGUACUGGACGGUCCACGGGUCAAGCUAGGCAAGUAGGCACCGUCUCCUACCGCUGUGUAAGGACAGUGACCUUCCCCGCUCUCCCCCACCAGGCAGACACGGUUCUUAAUCAGCCUUUCUAAAUCCUAGCCUGGUGAUGGAUAAAAGGCGGGUUAAUUACAAAAAUACUAAUGAUUAUAUGACUCUUCUAAUUGUGUACAAUUAGAAUGUAUGUCUUUAAUUUUCCCUGAAACUUCUGGUAGAGUGUUCCAUUUCCCUCACAGCUGUGCAGGUGACAAACUCAGGAAAUUAACAAAUUGCAUUGGAGGCCUCUCAGCUCCCAAUACACCUUUACACUCGGCUCUUAGCCGAUGUCUUUAGGGGUAACCGAAUUCUUGUGCGAUCACAGCCGGGAAGCCAAUACCUUUUAAUUACCACACUGCAGAAAUCGUACCUCCUCCUGUCACUUCAGCACCUCUAAUUAGUCAAUUGGUUGAAAUCACAGCCUUGGGAUGAGAGGUGUUCAGGGGUGGGGCAGCCCUAUUCUUGCAGUAGGAAAGGACGCAGCAUCGCCAGUCUCCAUGAAUGUACCUUUGUUCUUCUAGGUCUCUAGACAAGCUCCUACACAUGUGAUGAGGCCCACCCACAGACACCUCCUCCAGGGAGUCCUCCCUGCUUUCCUGGUACUGCUCCUACCCUUACUCAGUAGGCACUUGGCAGUGGUGGGUAGUCAGGCCAACAUUUUUCAUGCCCUAUGGGGUCUCCGAUGGCUCCCAGUGGAGGAGAGGAAAAUAUUUCUAUACUUUCCGCUGGACAGAAACGCACAGAAUGUAGCCACAGAGGCAAGAAAAGCUAUUCCUUUGAGGAAGAGGGGGCUGGGCCUAGCUCUUUGAGACUGGCUCAAAGCUCCACAUUCUUUUUUUUUUUUUUUUUUUUUGGUUUUUUGAGAUAGGGUUUCUCUGUAUAGCCCUGGCUGUCCUGGAACUCACUUUGUAGACCAGGCUGGCCUCAAACUCAGAAAUCCACCUGACUCUGCCUCCCGAGUGCUGGGAUUAAAGGCGUGUGCCAACAUACCCAGCAAAGCUCCACAUUCUUAUGGAGGAGUAGUUCUGAGGAGGACCCACUAAUCCAGAGCCCCCAGAAGGACUACAGGUCAGGGGUCAUUGGGCACUUCACAGUCCAGGUGCCAGCAACACCUAGGCUCCCAAAGAAAGUGCUAUCUAGAGUUCCAGUUUAGCCCCGUGAGCCCAGCACCUCCCACGGGUGAGAGUAGAGACUACAAAACUCCAGGCUGCAGAGAUUUGCUUCUUAUCACUUCCCAGAGACGGUGGUAGAAUCAAGAGAAGAGACUCGCCAUGAAUGGAGAGGUCAUUUGGGGACUGUGACUAGAUCCCUGGGUCGAGGCGGGGCUGCAAGAGUUACUGAGCCCUGCUGUGGGCUCUCAGCCUCCAGUUCCAGCCCACUGACACCUACCAGGCCUCAGCCUCCACGGGGCAAAGUCAGAGGACAGAUCCCACCCUACCUCUGCAGGGCAGGGCUGAGAUCAAGGGGUAGGUUGGCUGGGCAGGUGCUCUACAGAGAAAAAUCCUUUGUGUUACAGAAGAAAGUGUGAGCUUUGAGGCCCACAGAGCCUCAAAGAGCCCUGUGUCUGCCGGAUGCCAUCUGGCCUGCCCUGUCAGGCCUCCUUUCUCACCCCGUCACGCCCACCUUCUUUCCAAGGGAGAUGAUGCUGUGCUCAGUCCCCAGGAGGAAGCCUCCAGGGUCCUCCCAAACUUCUAGGCCAGGCCAAGAGCGCCAUCAAUCCGGCUUUACCACGUGGCAGUGCAGUGCGAUGCACCUUGUCUACCUUAAAAGACCACAGGGGAUGAGCACACCAGUCAUGAUGGGAGGAACGCCUUUCCCUAUCAGAGGUCGUAACUCCUGUGUGCAUGACGGUUAGCCCAACCCCUGGACACUCCUGAGACUUGACUCUGCAUCACACCCUUCUUCUCUGUACAGACAAUGAAUUAGCCAAUCGCAUUAGAUUACGAUGAGGUAGAGCUCCCAUGAGACACCACCUGGGCUAAAAUAAAAUCCAAGCAAACCCUCCCAACUCAGUGCCUCGCUAGCCUGGCUUGGGUCCCGGCACAACCUUUUUGCAGAAAGGUAUUGCCUUGCUUGGUUAUGUUCCCUUUGCGCAUGUGCUUCCUUGUACAAUCACCACACCAAGAAUGUUUUUUCCCAACAACAGUUCAUCCUCAAAUACGUGCUGCCAAAGUGAAUUCAGAGGGAGCAAAUGUUUGUGUCUGUAUCUCUGCAUGUGUACACGUGUCUGUGUCUGCAUGUAUAUGUGUGUGUCUGUGUGAGUGUGUGCAUUUAUGUGUGUCUCUCGGUGUGUGUUUGAGUGUUUGUGAGUGUGUGUAUUUAUGUGUGUGUUUCUGUAUAUAUAUAUGUGUGUGUGUGUUUAUGUAUGUAUCUCUCUGUGUGUGUCUGUGUGUUUGUGUGUGUGUGAGUGUGUGCAUUUAUGUGUGUCUCUGUAUGUUUGUGUGUAUAUAUGUGUAUAUAUAUUAAUAUAUAUAUAUGUUUAUGUAUGUGUCUCUGUGUGUCUGUGUGUGAAUUUGUAUAUGUGAGUGUGUGUAUGUUUAUGUGUAUGUGUCUCUUGCUCUGUGUACUUAUGUGUAUUUCUAUGUGUGUUUGUGUGGUCUCUGUAUACGUGAGUGUGUAUAUGUUUGUGUGCAUGUCUCUUUGUGUGUGCACGUGUGUGUGUGUGUGUGUGUGUGUGUGUGUGUGUCCCAGAGCUGAAGGUAGAAUCAAUAAAAGCUUUUCAGAGGAUCUUGUUCAGAUCAAUGUGAAAAAGUAACUUUCAACAACAAAGGAGUCAAGAAGAAAUCAAAAUCUUACAAAGUAUUGAGUUCCUUGUCGUGGGAGGUCAUCAAGAAGACAACCAGGGAUCAUCUUCUAGGGUGGAGGAGAGGUUCCCCAAAUCCACAGGAGAACAGAACCAGUCAGUCGGAUUAUUGUUGGGGUACAGGUGACCAGGCACCCCACAAAUCCAGGCGAACCCCGGGGUCAGCUUUAUGUGGUUGUGAGUGUUUUCCCUCUGACUGCUUUCGCCUUCUCACGUGGGUAAACGAUGCACUUCCCCCAUUCAAGACAUUGAAAUAAAACAAUGAGUUCACUUAACUGAAAAUAAUACACAAGCUCAUAAUACAAGUGGAAGAUUUUGGCAAAAUUGAGAAAGUGACUUGUGACAAAGCCUGGAAAGCCCAGGGUUCGAAUCUCAUAGAGGAGUGUGACCAGAACACAGGGACCUCAAAAAACAAAACAAAACAAAAACCCUCUACCCACAAAGUCUUAAUGUGAAACUAAACCAUUAUGGAAUGAACCUGACUUUUACCUAUGCAGCUGAGAUGGCCACUAUUGAAGAACCUAGAAGAGAGAGCAGGUGGGGAAAGGCGGUGGAAGAGAGAGCAGGUGGGGAAAAGCAGCUGGGGAAAGGUGGUGGCAGAGAGAAAUAACAGAAGCAGCCUAACAAAGAGGGCUGCCAGUUUCAGCAGUAUGUGAAUAUUCUUGGGCUAAGUAAACCCCUUACCUCAACCUUAUCUAACUGGGAGUCCUCUACUCUCUAUGCUAAUUGUAGAUAACUCUUCACUCCAAGCAUAGUAAAUAGACUUGAGCAGUGGGCUGCUUAUCUGCUGAGGAAUGUAGGUUAAGGGAGUAAAGAGUGAGUGUGCCGUAAUCCGCUAGUUAUGUCUGCAUUGGCACAGACAGAGGAAACGGUGCCAUAGGCUCCAUUCAUCUAUGUGUUAUCUUAGGCUCGUCCUGCUUUUCAUAUUAUAUUUUCAGGACAUGAAAGAAGAACUUGCCCAGGCUCAACCCCAAGUUCAUGGCUGGGCUGGAUAAAAUCUACAUUCAUCUCCAUGUGGCCUGCAGAAAACCAAAGCAGGAUGCCACCCAUGCCGUGAUUAUGUGAUUUCAGAACAUCCCUGUCUAGCGUUGAAUACCCACAGCAUCAGUCCGAGCAUACACAGCCAGGCUGAGCACCACCCGAUCCAACUCAUCACAAUGACUGCACAUGAAUGUCCUAUAAUGCCAAGGGUGGCAACAAAACCCACUUGCAGUAAGAGUAUGUAGAUGUCAUUGUGACAGCCACACUCUGAGACCGGAGGCAUUGUUGCUGGGGGCUUUUGGUUGUUGAUGGAAAUGAGAAACAAGAACCACAAAGCCAGUGUUUCACUCAGAGUUCAUUCAAACUAACAGAAUUGAACUGAAUGGGAUUGUUUUCUUAAUCUUUCCCUUUCUUCUUCCCUCAUUCUGGGUCCCGGUUUCCUUAUUGUUCAAAAGAGGAGCCUUUGUGGGGUAGUUUUAAUUUCAGAUCCAAGACUUCGUGAUUUUAUAAUUAACUCUGUGUUUAAUUUACAAAGCAAAGAGAAAGCCUUUCUUUAGGCGAGAAAAUGAAAAUGGCUGGAGAAGAGACAGCAACGCCAGAAGGGCCUUCCACCAGCUCAAUCACAAAGACGUGUGUUUACCCUAAUUGUUUUAUAUCCCCAUUUAGAUAUUAGUCUUUCACUUUCUGCUCUUUUUAAUCAAGUGCAUUCAUUAGCUCUCCCAUCGACUCAGUGAAGCUUUAUAGUUUCGGGGAACUAUGGAUGUGUUUUCUUCUGACACAGAAAUCCCACUUCUAGGAAGACCAUUGGCGUAAGUGUACACAUGACCAGCGGUAGUCCUGGAGCCCAUCCAGGCAUCCGUCAUCAGGGCUGUGUGGACUCUGGCUUAGCCAUGCCGAGAACUGAUACACAUCUGUGGGAAGAACAUGGAACGCCACUCUGCAGUGACGAAACUGUGAGCUCAGGGGAGCUUGGCCAAAGAGGAACACCAGUGGGGGCAGCACGCUGUGCGGGGAGCGUGCCCUUUCACGGAAGAAAGAAGAGGAAGAGACAAACACGCAUCAGCAGGAAAGAAGCUGGAAAAGUAAAUAUUAACCUUUCUUAGAAAAGGUCAGCUAUAAGGAUGACACAGACAGCAUGGUGGAACCUGGAACACUCGCCUGCCUUUUCCUGGAUCCUGUUGUUUUCCAUGACAUUGAUCGGUUUGAUGAAUACAGGCUGGAACUGCAAGGUGUCUAUCGGGGAGUGUGGCAAGAGUGUCUGCCAGUGGUCAGCUCCCUGAUCAGAGGACCCGAGGACCUGCCUCCCCAGCCUGGAGCUCAGCAAAUCCACCACUGCAGCUGCCUCAGUGUCCCCUGAAAAUCUCUGAUCUCCGCUUCUCCCUCUGCUGUGCCUGCUCUGAAAGGGGAGAGACCUAUCAGAGUGAAAACCCCAAAAGGAGGGAAAACACUCCAAACCUCUCCUGAUCACUGUCAUGACACGUGGCUUAAGAGCACUGGCUGGGGCUGGCAAGAUGGCUCAGUGGGUAAGAGAGUUGACUGCUCUUCCGAAGGUCCUGAGUUCAAAUCCCAGCAACCACGGGGUGGCUCACAACCACACGUAAUGAGAUCUGACGCCUUCUUCUGGUGCGUCAGAAGUCAGCUACACUGUACUUAUGUAUAAUAAUAAAUGAAUCUUUAAAAA
Mus musculus (house mouse) is the source of this 15030-nucleotide long non-coding RNA. RefSeq annotates it as predicted gene, 32208. The transcript has 4 exons. NCBI's taxonomy places the organism in Eukaryota, Metazoa, Chordata, Mammalia, Rodentia, Muridae. The record is from RefSeq and is a predicted model, not a curated record.